GACGAACGCUGGCGGCGUGCCUAAUACAUGCAAGUUGAGCGCUGAAGGUUGGUACUUGUACCAACUGGAUGAGCAGCGAACGGGUGAGUAACGCGUGGGGAAUCUGCCUUUGAGCGGGGGACAACAUUUGGAAACGAAUGCUAAUACCGCAUAAAAACUUUAAACACAAGUUUUAAGUUUGAAAGAUGCAAUUGCAUCACUCAAAGAUGAUCCCGCGUUGUAUUAGCUAGUUGGUGAGGUAAAGGCUCACCAAGGCGAUGAUACAUAGCCGACCUGAGAGGGGGAUCGGCCACAUUGGGACUGAGACACGGCCCAAACUUCUACGGGAGGCAGCAGUAGGGGAUCUUCGGCAAUGGACGAAAGUCUGACCGAGCAACGCCGCGUGAGUGAAGAAGGUUUUCGGAUCGUAAAACUCUGUUGGUAGAGAAGAACGUUGGUGAGAGUGGAAAGCUCAUCAAGUGACGGUAACUACCCAGAAAGGGACGGCUAACUACGUG
Molecule: ribosomal RNA, 497 nt
Filed under: uncultured bacterium
Lineage: Bacteria
Description: partial 16S ribosomal RNA
Rfam family: Bacterial small subunit ribosomal RNA
Source: RNAcentral